RNAcentral lists this ribosomal RNA (645 nucleotides) under uncultured Lachnospiraceae bacterium. Its description in RNAcentral is "bacterial SSU rRNA". It matches the Rfam family "Bacterial small subunit ribosomal RNA", at positions 90 to 753 of the family's 1533-position model. Lineage: Bacteria; Bacillati; Bacillota; Clostridia; Lachnospirales; Lachnospiraceae. The record is from RNAcentral.
AGUUAGUGGCGGACGGGUGAGUAACGCGUGGGUAACCUGCCUUGUACUGGGGGACAACAGUUGGAAACGACUGCUAAUACCGCAUAAGCGCACAGCUUCGCAUGAAGCAGUGUGAAAAACUCCGGUGGUACAAGAUGGACCCGCGUCUGAUUAGCUGGUUGGUGAGGUAACGGCCCACCAAGGCGACGAUCAGUAGCCGGCCUGAGAGGGUGAACGGCCACAUUGGGACUGAGACACGGCCCAAACUCCUACGGGAGGCAGCAGUGGGGAAUAUUGCACAAUGGGGGAAACCCUGAUGCAGCAACGCCGCGUGAGUGAAGAAGUAUUUCGGUAUGUAAAGCUCUAUCAGCAGGAAAGAAAAUGACGGUACCUGACUAAGAAGCCCCGGCUAACUACGUGCCAGCAGCCGCGGUAAUACGUAGGGGGCAAGCGUUAUCCGGAUUUACUGGGUGUAAAGGGAGCGUAGACGGUUUUGCAAGUCUGAAGUGAAAGCCCGGGGCUUAACCCCGGGACUGCUUUGGAAACUGUAGAACUAGAGUGCAGGAGAGGUAAGUGGAAUUCCUAGUGUAGCGGUGAAAUGCGUAGAUAUUAGGAGGAACACCAGUGGCGAAGGCGGCUUACUGGACUGUAACUGACGUUGAGGCU